This 1136-nucleotide ribosomal RNA is filed under the name Pediococcus pentosaceus. RNAcentral's name for it is "bacterial SSU rRNA". It matches the Rfam family "Bacterial small subunit ribosomal RNA", at positions 52 to 1146 of the family's 1533-position model. Lineage: Bacteria; Bacillati; Bacillota; Bacilli; Lactobacillales; Lactobacillaceae. The record is from RNAcentral.
UANUGCAGUCGAACGAACUUCCGUUAAUUGAUUAUGACGUACUUGUACUGAUUGAGAUUUUAACACGAAGUGAGUGGCGAACGGGUGAGUAACACGUGGGUAACCUGCCCAGAAGUAGGGGAUAACACCUGGAAACAGAUGCUAAUACCGUAUAACAGAGAAAACCGCAUGGUUUUCUUUUAAAAGAUGGCUCUGCUAUCACUUCUGGAUGGACCCGCGGCGUAUUAGCUAGUUGGUGAGGUAAAGGCUCACCAAGGCAGUGAUACGUAGCCGACCUGAGAGGGUAAUCGGCCACAUUGGGACUGAGACACGGCCCAGACUCCUACGGGAGGCAGCAGUAGGGAAUCUUCCACAAUGGACGCAAGUCUGAUGGAGCAACGCCGCGUGAGUGAAGAAGGGUUUCGGCUCGUAAAGCUCUGUUGUUAAAGAAGAACGUGGGUAAGAGUAACUGUUUACCCAGUGACGGUAUUUAACCAGAAAGCCACGGCUAACUACGUGCCAGCAGCCGCGGUAAUACGUAGGUGGCAAGCGUUAUCCGGAUUUAUUGGGCGUAAAGCGAGCGCAGGCGGUCUUUUAAGUCUAAUGUGAAAGCCUUCGGCUCAACCGAAGAAGUGCAUUGGAAACUGGGAGACUUGAGUGCAGAAGAGGACAGUGGAACUCCAUGUGUAGCGGUGAAAUGCGUAGAUAUAUGGAAGAACACCAGUGGCGAAGGCGGCUGUCUGGUCUGCAACUGACGCUGAGGCUCGAAAGCAUGGGUAGCGAACAGGAUUAGAUACCCUGGUAGUCCAUGCCGUAAACGAUGAUUACUAAGUGUUGGAGGGUUUCCGCCCUUCAGUGCUGCAGCUAACGCAUUAAGUAAUCCGCCUGGGGAGUACGACCGCAAGGUUGAAACUCAAAAGAAUUGACGGGGGCCCGCACAAGCGGUGGAGCAUGUGGUUUAAUUCGAAGCUACGCGAAGAACCUUACCAGGUCUUGACAUCUUCUGACAGUCUAAGAGAUUAGAGGUUCCCUUCGGGGACAGAAUGACAGGUGGUGCAUGGUUGUCGUCAGCUCGUGUCGUGAGAUGUUGGGUUAAGUCCCGCAACGAGCGCAACCCUUAUUACUAGUUGCCAGCAUUAAGUUGGGCACUCUAGUGA